GAUGAACGCUGGCGGCGUGCCUAAUACAUGCAAGUCGAGCGAAGAGAUGAGGUGCUUGCUCCUCUGACAUUAGCGGCGGACGGGUGAGUAACACGUGGAGAACCUACCUAUAAGACUGGGAUAACUUCGGGAAACGAGAGCUAAUACCGGAUAAUAACUUUAACCGCAUGGUUCAAGAGUGAAAGAUGGUAUUGCUGUCACUUAUAGAUGGAUCGGCUCGUAAUUACCUAUUUGGUAAGGAAACGGCUUCCCAAGGCAACGUUCAUAACCGGACCUGGGAGGUGGACCGGCAACACGGGAACUGAGACACGGUCCAGACCCCUACGGGAGGAAGCAUUAGGGAAUCUUCCGCAAUGGGCGAAGUCCUGACGGAGCAACGCCGCGUGGUUAAUGAAGUUCUUCGGAUCUUAAAACUCUGUUAUUAGGGAAGAACAAAUGGGUAAGUAACUAUGCACGUCUUGACGGUACCUAAUCAGAAAGCCACGGCUAACUACGUG
Molecule: ribosomal RNA, 497 nt
Filed under: uncultured bacterium
Lineage: Bacteria
Description: partial 16S ribosomal RNA
Rfam family: Bacterial small subunit ribosomal RNA
Source: RNAcentral